Molecule: ribosomal RNA, 252 nt
Filed under: uncultured bacterium
Lineage: Bacteria
Description: partial 16S ribosomal RNA
Rfam family: Bacterial small subunit ribosomal RNA
Source: RNAcentral
UACAGAGGUCCCAAGCGUUGUUCGGAUUUACUGGGCGUAAAGGGUGCGUAGGUGGCGGGGUAAGUCUGGUGUGAAAGCUCCGAGCUCAACUCGGAAAAGCAUUGGAAACUAUCCCGCUUGAGGGUCGGAGGGGAGACUGGAAUUCUCGGUGUAGCAGUGAAAUGCGUAGAUAUCGAGAGGAACACCAGUGGCGAAGGCGAGUCUCUGGACGACUCCUGACACUGAGGCACGAAAGCUAGGGGAGCAAACGGG